RNAcentral lists this ribosomal RNA (254 nucleotides) under uncultured bacterium. Its description in RNAcentral is "partial 16S ribosomal RNA". It matches the Rfam family "Bacterial small subunit ribosomal RNA", at positions 524 to 776 of the family's 1533-position model. The record is from RNAcentral.
UACGUAGGUGGCAAGCGUUAUCCGGAAUUAUUGGGCGUAAAGCGCGCGCAGGUGGUUUCUUAAGUCUGAUGUGAAAGCCCACGGCUCAACCGUGGAGGGUCAUUGGAAACUGGGAGACUUGAGUGCAGAAGAGGAAAGUGGAAUUCCAUGUGUAGCGGUGAAAUGCGUAGAGAUAUGGAGGAACACCAGUGGCGAAGGCGACUUUCUGGUCUGUAACUGACACUGAGGCGACGAAAGCGUGGGGAGCAAACAGG